This is a small nuclear RNA of Cynocephalus volans (Philippine flying lemur), 106 nucleotides long. Lineage: Eukaryota; Metazoa; Chordata; Mammalia; Dermoptera; Cynocephalidae. The record is from RefSeq and is a predicted model, not a curated record.
GUGCUGUCUCUGCUAGCACAUAUAUUAAAAUUGGAAUGGUUCAGAGAAAAUUAGCAAGGUCCCUACUCAAAGUAACAUGUAAAUUCAUGAUGCAUUUCCUAUCCAA